GUAGGUGGCAAGCGUUGUCCGGAGUUUACUGGGCGUAAAGGGGCGCGCAGGGUGGGCUCGUCAAGUCUAGGGUGAAAUCUCCCGGCUCAACCGGGAGGAGUCUCUGGAUACUGGCAGGCUAGAGGGAAGCAGAGGAGAGCGGAAUUCCCGGUGUAGCGGUGAUAUGCGUAGAUAUCGGGAGGAACACCAGUGGCGAAGGCGGCUCUCUGGGCGUUUUCCUGACGCUGAGGCGCGAAAGCGUGGGGAGCAAACCGGAUUAGAUACCCGGGUAGUCCACGCCGUAAACGUUGGGUACUAGGUGUGGGGGGUAUUGACCCCCUCCGUGCCGUAGUUAACGCAAUAAGUACCCCGCCUGGGGAGUACGACCGCAAGGUUA
Molecule: ribosomal RNA, 376 nt
Filed under: uncultured organism
Description: partial 16S ribosomal RNA
Rfam family: Bacterial small subunit ribosomal RNA
Source: RNAcentral